GCACAAGCAGUGGAGUAUGUGGUUUAAUUCGAAGCAACGCGAAGAACCUUACCAGGUCUUGACAUCCGAUGCAUAGCACAGAGAUGUGUGAAAUCCUUCGGGACAUCGAGACAGGUGGUGCAUGGUUGUCGUCAGCUCGUGUCGUGAGAUGUUGGGUUAAGUCCCGCAACGAGCGCAACCCUUAUUGCCAGUUACUACGUUAAGAGGACUCUGGCGAGACUGC
Molecule: ribosomal RNA, 223 nt
Filed under: uncultured bacterium
Lineage: Bacteria
Description: partial 16S ribosomal RNA
Rfam family: Bacterial small subunit ribosomal RNA
Source: RNAcentral